This is a non-coding RNA of Malus domestica (apple), 848 nucleotides long. Lineage: Eukaryota; Viridiplantae; Streptophyta; Magnoliopsida; Rosales; Rosaceae. The record is from RefSeq and is a predicted model, not a curated record.
UUGUCACAAAAAAUCAAAAGGAAAAAUCGAUUAACGACCAUCGUUUUUUUCACUCAAAACUAUUGGCAAAUCUCGGUGUCUCUGUCGUCUUCUGAUUUUCCUCCUAAUCGGAGAAGAAGGGCAACCGAGCCACGCUGUAAAGGCAUUGAAAUCUUGGUCCUCCGAAUUCGUGGUUUUCUGAUUCUUCCUGGUGCUCCUCACGAUUGAUUCCAUGGUCUGAUCUUCUGCGAAUCCCAAUCCGACGGUGGCGAUAGCGUCGGCGAGAAUCAAUCGGCCGAUGUGGAUCUCUUCGAUGCGUAUUUCCGACGAGCCGCUUUGGACUGCGAUGGCCGGAUUAGUGGCAAUGAACCCGUCGCUUUCUUCCAGGGCUCCGGUCUCCCCAAACAGGUCCUUGCGCAGUUUUGUACAAGAGCAGAUGUGACAGUCGCCUUAAUGAGAUCACAGAAAGGGCAUCUGCUGAUAGAUGUGAGGCUGAGUCCCUGGCUAAUAAGAAAUAUGAAGAGAAAUACAAACAAGCUGGAGAUGUAGCUUCCAAGCUGCUAUUGAAGAAGCAACGUUUCGUGAUUUACAGGUACAUAUCACCACAUAUAAAUAUGUGGACAAUUAGUGACCCACUAGCAAAAAUGCCGGCGCUCCGGUGCGGGUUUUGAAACCUUAACCACAAUUUAGCACAUCCAUUUCUAAAUUAUUAAAAAAACAAUCAAAGCAGAUGAAUCCACAUGGUAAAAUAAGUCUUUAAAUUUGCAUCUAUAUUCUAUUGAAUUUACAUCAAGAGCCUAUGUACAACAAAAAAGUGAAUUUCUACAUACCAGCUAUAUACAGUUUACAUGAUGAGUUUUUCAUACAAA